ACUCCUACGGGGGGCAGCCAUGGGGAAUAUUGGGCCAUGGGCCGCAAGCCUGAUCCAGCAAUUCCGUGUGCACGAUGAAGGCCCUCGGGUCGUAAAGCUCUUUUACCAGGGAUGAUAAUGACAGUACCUGGAGAAUAAGCACCGGCUAACUCCGUGCCAGCAGCCGCGGUAAU
This 173-nucleotide ribosomal RNA is filed under the name uncultured bacterium. RNAcentral's name for it is "partial 16S ribosomal RNA". It matches the Rfam family "Bacterial small subunit ribosomal RNA", at positions 335 to 524 of the family's 1533-position model. The record is from RNAcentral.